UCGGUUAGGGAGCACGACUAAAGGUCGCGGCGCGUCGAGGCGCGUCGCGGCGCAUUUCAACUCGCAUUCCUCGUCGUCCCGUACGAGUUUUUAACAUGAGCGAGUGUUUCGAGAGUUUCGUGGAGUGUCGGAAGUGAAGUAAAUUGUCGGGCGUUCGUGCCAACAUUCGUCGUUCGGAUGCGAUGUACCGUGCGAAGUUGUGUCGCGUUUAAUCGUGUUUUGCAUCUUCUCCGCUGCCUCAUAUUCCGAAUUUCCGAGGCAGAAAGAUUAUUGCACGGAGCAAGUGCAAAUCUUGCAAAGAAAAUGCAGGCUCAAGCUGAAGAAAAAUUUAUUGAUUAUUUUAGAUUGUCACCUCAAUUAUUUGAUAAAUUACUAAAAAAUUAGUCGGACCUGUUAUUACCAAAGUAAUUCGUAAUCUCAUUUCGCCUAAAACUCGACUACACAGAACACUACGGUUUUUAGCAUCAGGAUAUAGCAUGAAAUCGAUAUCGUAGUGACAAUUAUUUGACGAAUUAGUAAAAUUAAUAAAUUAAUUAUUUAUUAGUUAAUUAAGUCUUGUUUUUCUUUGCGACAAUACGUGAAAGACGAAUACAUGAGCAAAAUUCUUAUUCCGCUGAAAACGGAAAAAGAAAACGGCGGAAUCGGCGGAAUGAAGCCGCUACCAAUCACAAACGUUCCGCAGUUCCACCAUUCCGUAUCCAAUGUGAGAUGUGAGCGACACCGUCAAAGCGACGCGCCGUGUCGGCUUGAAAUCGUGUUGCUUUCGCUAACAAAAGUACAGUCUCUGAUGUCGUAGAUGCGCGCGAAAAUGACUCGCACGUCUUUCGAGAGAAUCGAAAACUGGCAUGUUUUUUCGUUAAAUGUGGUAUGUCCACAGAUCGCCGUACAUCUCUUAUAUCGUGCUUACUGCACUAACAAUAAGUUAUUUCACACAACUGAAUAAAUGUCCUCUGACAGUAAGGACAACCGAGAUACAAUACUAUCCAAAGAGCGUCCAGAGAAACUUAGCUAGAUGAGUUACAAUUUUUUCUGGUGAUCCUUGGAGUUGAAACAUUAACCUAAUUAACAGCCUUCCUUCGUUGCAAGAACUCAAGAAUCCUAAUUCGAGAGCCAGGAAUCGCACCCCCUCUGCUUGUCUGGAGGUUUGUGAGGUUUACACGCUCUGUCUUUGGCGAUCGAUUCGGUCCUAAGCGGAAAGAAUUUGGACAUUGAUUUCGUUUUCUCCCGCGUGGGACUUAACUCUUGUUCAGUGGACGGGUACGCGUGAGUUCCACAUAUACUUGUCGACUCGAGGUCUUACUGAAUCCACGGGACUCCCUCUGAAUUGGAAGUCUUAUCAUGGGACUUGUAAACCCGAAGUGCCGAAGUGUAAUUGCGCGAAAGACUUAUAAAUAAUUAGUUCGCGCGCGACUUUAGUAUAUUAUUCGCGAGUGUCUUAGUGAGUGCAAUAGGAGGAGGAGGAGAAAGAAGAGGUGAAGGCCUGACAACCUAGAUAUCUUGAGAGGAGGAGGAAGAGAAGAGAGAGGUCUAGAAGAGACAUGGAAUCCCGGCGGAGCAAUCUUGAGAUCAGAUGCCAUGGCGGAGGACAGGAUCGACCCGGAAUACGCCACUUGCAAGGCUACUCUCUAUAUGAGGCUGAAGAGAGGCUCGAGUGGACGGCUUUUACGUAAAAUGCAUCGAGUGCUCCUGUGCCAAAUCUAAUAAAAGACUCCUCCAGUCGCAUGAACGGGAAGGAACACACGUACUCCAGAAGAGCAGCGACGGUGGCUAAUAACAGUAAUUAGCGCGCGCGCUCGCUUGUUCGUGAAAUCGUGUUCUCGCGUGUACGUGUGUGAGCGCCAUGAGGAAACAGCUCAAGCAGCCAGGAUUCCGAGAGAAGGAGCCUGGGAGGUGUCGGGCGAUCAUGGGGAGCGGCGAGGAUAAUUAACGCGCGCGUUCGCUUGUUCGUGAAAUCGUGUUCUCGCGUGUACGUGUGUGAGUGCCAUGAGGAAACAGCUCAAGCAGCCAGGAUUCCGAGAGAAGGAGCCUGGGAGGUGUCGGGCGAUCAUGGGGAGCGGCGAGGAGUGAGUACCUUAUCAUUUAUUUGUUGUUAUUUAUAAUAUGUGUAUUUAAUUAAUUUAUGUAAGAACACACGCGUGCAUAUGUGCGCAUUUAGUUUGAAAAUAACUGCAGCGAGAUAUUAAUGUUAGUUUAGAUGAAGAAAAAGUAGAUACAAUUUUCAAAAUGGAUUUAUUUCCGACAAUGAUAGAUCGACUUUGUAUCUGUUUUAUAAGCAGCUACAAUAUGCGCUCAGAAUAAAUAUAAGAUUUAGAGAAUUUCUGUAAAAGAUGCACGCAAAUUCAUGAAAAAUACAUGAGUCGUAUAAUUUAUGUAUUUUUUUUUGCGUGCAUAUUAUAUAAUGAGACGCAUAUAACAAUCUCGAGAAGUAACUUGAAAGCGUUCGCGAAGGGUGCUCGCGAAUUGACGGCACGUCAGAAAUAUUCGUAAAGAAGAAACGUAUCUUAAUCUCGUUUAUAAUCCCGGCACUUCUGUGUUGCGUCAACAUAAUUUACGAUGAAAAAUUGCGCGGCACGGAAAAGAAAGCGACGUAUACUAAAAUCCGUGUCGAUCAUUAAUUUUCUGAGAAACCGCCAUGACGCGUGAAUACCACGCACAAACUUCAUCCGGGAAUAUAUUUAUGUUCUAUCACCGUAUACACUUCAUGUAGCGCAUACAACGAUAAUGAAUCUACGCGAGAAAUAUUGCGAAGUAUAGAAAAUUAACUGCGAAUUUAGAAUAGAUCUCAAGACUUGCGCGGUGUGUUUUUAUAUACGUAUUUUGGUACAUCGUGGCUAAUAAUUUUGAAGGAGUAAUUUCGUGAAUGCUAACAUAAGCUCUACGGUACGUCGCCUGUAUGAAAAUUCCAAACAAAAUAGAGAAGAUGGCGUUUCUUUGAUGUCACGCGCGCUAAAUAAAAAUAAAAAAAAGGAGGUCUCUAUAAUAAGGUUUCGACAAUAAAUCUCGUCUACGCGUUUAUAUCAAAGUCAUAAUUUUGGAGUUCUACGAAUUCAGCCUUCUAUUAAUUAAUCGGAACGUGUACGAACAAGUAUGGAUACCAAUGUACAUUAUUACAUAUAUUAUACAUAUCCAUGAAUACAUGAUUAUAUAAUAUAGCGCACGUAUAUUAAUCAAAAUAUAACGAGCACAUUUUUUAAUUUAACGUAGACAUUUUUAUAAACUGCUAACAUAGAAUUUUUACGGUUGAAAAAUGAACGAUAAUUAGGAAAAUAUAUUUUUAAAUUGCAUAGCUCUUUUACUCUAUAUAAAUUAUGAAGAAAAGAGAAUCAUAUAAAUUUAACGUUUUGUUCUGUGCCCCAAUACAUAAAAUAAGAAAUAUAUGUGAUCUAUCUGAAAUUAAAAAGACUCAGUUUGAUCGUUUCUGAGAGCAUCUUCUAAUCAAAAAAACUCCAUUCUACUCUUUAAUUGUAACAAUGGUAUUAAGCUUUAAACGGAGAAAUGGAAUCGUGUUAUUAGGAAAUUAACCUAAACGCACUUGUAUUCCUUCAAUAUUCAAUUAGCCUUCGGGCACAGUGCUUGUCGCUGUGUGAAACUAAAAGCAGAAUGCGUGUAGUAAUUGUACGAUCUCUAUGCCUGGCUUCUAAACAGGGAAAUGGACCAUGUAGUACGAUGCCGCGUAAACAGCGAUACAAUUCUGUAUCUGCUGCAAUAGCAAUUAUUUAUUUCUAUUAAUGUAAUAAUUAUUAUACACUUUUCUUCCAUUCUUACAAAUGAAAAUAUUGUCCUUAUAAAUUAGCUCAUGUUCAAUUUAAUAACAAUACAUGUAUAAUUUUAGGGCUCUCUUUGUUAAAGAAAGCAUUUUUGUAUAGACCAACGUUUUUUUUACCGUCGUACAAAAGCAAAUUAUAGCUUUUGACAACGCAUCACUGUGUAUUUAGCACGCAACACGCGCAGCAACGUGAGAAGCAAAAGACGAAGACGUAAUUAAAGACGCUAGGAGCAUCAAAGAAACCGAAGUAGAUCGUGCAUUCGCGAUUCUGCGAUCGCUCGCGAGACUGCGGAAUCUUGCAUAAUCCCGCGAAGCAGUUGAACGACGCAGAAUAAAGAGAUAAAUUUAUUCUCCCGUUAUCGAAAAAGAGGACGGGACGAGAAAUGGACGUCGAAUCCCUGCGUAACUCGCUUCCGCAGGGAAUUCCAUUCCUGAAAUAUUCUGUUUAUUCGUUAUUUCAAACGUGAUCUUGAAGCUUUGCUGACGACACUGGCAUAAUCCUCGUUACAUUAACAACCAUGUGAUUCCCUUAAGUGAAUAAAAUAGAAAGGUCGCUUUAAUAUGUUAGAGUGGGAAAGCUGGAAUUGUUCCAGGCGACGAUUGUAACGCUCGUAAGAAUUUAACUUAAUUGCUGCACGCACCGAAAGGAAAAAACUACUUACUUCGGCAACACAAUUGGAAACUACCUUGUGAAAAAAAUAUCCGUAUAACGACCCUGCGUCUCUGGUAUCUCGAAAUUUUGCUGAAAUUGCCGUAAUUCAAUUUGGAAUUCCGCGUCUUUUUGGCGACGCGUUACGAUGAAAGUCACGAGGAAAGUAAUUAAUUCGGGCAGAAACGGGUUAAAGUCCUGACGUCCAUCGGUAAAGAGGCAGAAAGGAAUACGAGGAAACGCUCGUAUGUUUGCUCGAAGACGUGUAUUUUCAAGCUCUGCUCCUCCCAUCUCUCUCUCUCUCUCUCUCUCUCUCUCUCUCUCUCUCUCUCUCUUCCUCUUUCCCAACGAGAAAAGACGAGGUAAACUGCUAACGCUGUACGGGUCUGGACUUCAUUUCUAAGGAAAUCCUUUCAGCGCAAACAUGAAUAAAAUAUAAAUUGUCAAUGGACAUAAGAUUGUUGGCAAACUUAACCGUGCUUAUAGAAGUCCUUUUGAAUUAUCCCCAUUUUUCUCAAUCUUUUUGUUCCAUGUCGUUGUUAAAUGUCGAUCUCUUUUGACAAAAAUCUAAUUAAAAAAUUUUUUUGUAAUUUUAAGAUUUCAUUAACUGUUUGUAAGUUGAAUUUCUUUUCAAAUUACAUAACUAAAAAUCUCGUGAUGAUUUUAUAUAAAAGUCCUGAACAUUGAAACAAAAUUUGAAAACGUAUCGGCAAUUUUUAUUUACGAAAUCGAGGCCAGUUUAUAUUUAGAUAGAUUGAUUUAUACGUAUACAUAUGUCAAUUUAGCAUCGGAGUUCUUAGCUGCUCUGUCACAGAAAAACACCAGAUAACGAGUUUAAGCAAUGACCCUACAGAUCACUCUUAAGAUACCACAUCGUUUAUAAAUAUACACUAUACACUUAAAUAAUUGUUACACAGUUUACCGAAUUUCUCUUAAGAGAAAACCAAUAUUAAAAAGUAUUUUCUAUUCCAAUUUAAUUAGGAUAAUUAUAAAAGAAGACUAUUGUAUUCGCACGUAAUCGUUUAUUGUUGGUUAAAAGCCACGUCAUAAAAAGUAAAUAUUGCUCUAGUUCUCAAACAUAAUACUGCGAUAAAACUUCAAUUCUGUUUACAAAGUCCAUUUAUCAAAGCAAAAUUGUAAUUCCCAGAACUUGCUGCUGCGGCAUCGCGCCGACCGCAAUCGCCGUCGAGAUAGCUAUUUGAUACGCAUUUCUUAUGGAUUUUCUCUUCCAGAAAUUGCCUUUGCCAGAAAUACACAAAUGCAGUUGAAUAAAUAGCCGUGAUGUCUUGGUACGCGCGAACAAUGGACACGCGCGCCGGUCUAGAUGUAUGACUGCGCUUCAGUCAAUAAACCGAUAAUACAACUUUAUUACGACAUCGUUGUGCUCGCGGAGAAAUUGCGACGGGCACAAAUUUACCGCGAUCGCGGUCAUGCGAGUCCGCAGGUGGCUCGUGAAACCGUUUUACACCUCGCGAGACAAACAAUUCGAGAUCUACGGGAUCGUUACAGUGGCGGUAAAUAAUUUCCGGUUCCAAUAUUCCGUGGAUCGUGUCGAAAAUACGUAUAGUUAAAUUUAUCUAGUAUACGCUAGAUCUAUUUAUAAAGGGUCGGCUUAAAAUUGUUUGACACUUGAAAUAAUUACGAGGACAAUUAAUUUCAAUAAAACGUGUACCUCGUCAAAAAAUAAAAAUGCAGAUUGCUCCCAUAACUACUCCAAACAGAUUGACAAAACGAAAUUGUAAAAUUUAAAGGUUUUAAGUGUCGACGUUACUAGUUUCUCCAAUCCCUCUUCAGCACAUUGUGCAUCGAACGGUUAAAUUAAACGCUUUCCAAAUGAAAUUGGCAUCGCCAAUUCAACCAAUAGAACCUCGUUACUCUUGUCCAACGUUCCUCGAAAUUUUAGUGUCGACAUUUUCGCAUUCAUUGCGAGCAAGAAUUUCAUCGAGAGGUCAGGAACAAUGUGGCAAAAAUUUCAAAUAUUAUUUUUGGUACACAUUCAAUAUUCAAAAAACGAUUAAUUAUAAUUCUCUUCUAAUUGUAGAUAUAAAACAAUACUCUCCUACAUUUUUAUAAAGCCUCUUUUGAAUUUUCUAUGAUUUUUAAUUUCAAUUGCAAUAAAAUGUAAUAAAUUUAAUAGAGCUCUGUGCCAAACUAAACCAACUGCACAAUCAAUAUGCUUUAAAUAAAUGCGCUUCCAAUUUUUGCACCUAACGAUUACAUUUAAUUUUCCUUUUGAAUCCCGUCGGUUCGAACGAUUUAUCGGCGGCGAGAACCUUUCCGUCUCGUCGCCGCGAGCGACUUUAAGGAAGGCGGGCAGCAUUAUCUACGUGUGCCGGUUCGCGGCCCGGUCCGGCAAGGGCAAUAAUUCAGCGACGAUUGCAGAGAGACGCGAUCUCUUAAGCCGCCUGUGGCACGUCGCUAUCUAUAAACUGACGUUUAGGACCCGCGUUUUGCCUCUGGCGAUACCACUCCGCGUGAACGAGCCCCGCAUGUCGGCCGCGAAGAGAGAGAGGCUCCGAUUGCGCUGGUGAGCAAACGUGCUUUCGCACUCCGAUCGGAUUUCAGAAAAUCGGCUUGCAUAUUGCGUAUCAGAAAAUCGGCUUGCAUAUUGCAUGCUCGUUAUGCUAAUCCGUUAUCUUCCUACAUGCGUUUACCCGAUGUCGUUGAAAUAUUCCGACUAUGAGAUAGUCCGCAGUCUCUUGGCAUUUGUAUCUCGAACCGCAGAAGCGAUCGACCUCUAUCGAGUCUUAUCGUUCUUAAUAAGAUUGAGUAGUUCAAAAAAGGAAAUGGGUUGCUUCUUGAGAAAGGCUUGAUUUAUAAACUCAGAUACUAAUUGUGAUUUGCCCCAAAUAUACCAAAAGGUGAGAUGCUUUUAUUUCACGAUUGAAACUCUAAAAUUAUACAAUCGCUUUUGUUUUUCUGUCCCACCGUGUACAUAAAAAAUUCAUAGCAGGUUAGGAAGAACUUUCGAAAAAGUUUCAAAAGGUUUGAAAGAUCGUUAAGUAUUUCGGUCAAUUAUCGACGACGUUAAUGUUCUAGUAAAAUGAUAAUCGACAAAUGUGGUUUUGUUAGUGUUUUUAAUUUUUAUCAUCUCAAAGAUAAUUGGAAUACAUUGAGUAUUCGAUCGACAUGGUGCUCGCAUUAAAGCGCAUACGCGAAAUCCCACACAUGCGGAACAGUGCCUUGCCAUUAUCGCAUAAGCUCUCAUGAGGAGGUUCACUGUUAUCGGGUGACCUUUCGUCGAUGGUAUUUGCGCUGGUGAGCGUAGGUGGCGGGCAAUAUGAUAAUUGGAGGAAGACGAGGCACACUGAUUAAUACGCGCAUAACAAUGCUUCCAACAAGUGAAAACGCAAACUGGUUUAAUUUCGACGACUCUCCAUCCCACUCGAUCGUCCCACGAAAUCUCUCUCUCGCGUUAUCUCUCCGAAAUUCGCUGGGGUAUUGGAAUUUAAACGACGUUGGAUUAUUGCCCUUAUCAAGGGAAAUAACAUUUGUUUACUCUCAUAUAAACUCUAGUAUUAUCUUAAAACCAGCCACGUUAACUUGGGCUUUUAUGAUAUACAUAUUAAAAAAAAAAAAAAAAAAAAAAA
This is a long non-coding RNA of Solenopsis invicta (red fire ant), 8005 nucleotides long. RefSeq lists it as uncharacterized. Lineage: Eukaryota; Metazoa; Arthropoda; Insecta; Hymenoptera; Formicidae. The record is from RefSeq and is a predicted model, not a curated record. The transcript is spliced from 8 exons.